UCAGGAGAGAUGACACAUUUAUCUCUAUUUAUGUUAUGUUUCCUUUGUAGGUCACCCAGGGCUCUGCUCUGCCUCAUCCUCACUCUAGGACCCAGGCUGCGCGGGCAGCUGCUGUCUGAGCAUUGCUGAUUGCCAUGGCAGAGGGAAAGAAAAAAGAAAAAAAUUGCAAGCUAGGCCUAAAAACUUUGGUCCAGAUGUACAUGGUUAUUGAGAGCACACGGAGACAGAGAAGACCCCGCGAAGACAGCAGCAGAGCCUGGAGUGAUGCAGCUCAAGUUAAGGAAUGCCAAAGGCUGCCAGGCUAGGAAGGCAGCAGUCUUCUCAGGAGCCUUUGGAGAGGGCGUGGCCCUCAGAAUAGUGAGAGAAUAAACUUCUCUUGUUUUAAGCCUUC
Macaca mulatta (Rhesus monkey) is the source of this 391-nucleotide long non-coding RNA. RefSeq lists it as uncharacterized. The record is from RefSeq and is a predicted model, not a curated record. NCBI's taxonomy places the organism in Eukaryota, Metazoa, Chordata, Mammalia, Primates, Cercopithecidae.